UGCAGUGUGGAAUCUAUCUAAAUUUCAAGAAGAAACUAAUGGAGGUGGAGAUGGUGAUAAUAAUGUUGAUGGGCCCAAUGAGGUUGAUGCUGAACCUAGCACGGUGCAACAGAGCCAGCUACUGGAAAUGGUGACAAAAACAACUCCAAAAGAUGUAGUUGCGGCUACUUCACAAAGAAUGAAAUCCUCAUAUGAGGACAUGGAAGAAAUGAGAGGCAAUUCCGAUAGCUUAUUUUAUAUGCAGCUACUACUGGAGAAAAUGAUGCUUGAGGUCAAUUUUUUAGAUCAUCCAUAAUGUUCUAACUUAUCAAGUUUCAAUGAACAAAUCUCUAUUACAUCUCUUAUCAGCUGCUUGAAUUAUCUAACUGUGGUUCUUAUGCCUUAAAAAAAUGCAAUUGCAAAGGUGCAUGACUUAUUUAACUAUGGUUCUUAUGUCUUAAAAAAUUAUAUGUAGCAUGCUAAUAGAAGGAGGAAUCAUUACCCCCUUUAUAUUUUAUGUUAUCGUAGAUUUUUUAUCUCUUUGGAAUACAAUACUGAAAAUAUCAUAUUAAUUGUUGUUUUUGUUGAUGGUUGAGUUUAACUUGCCACUCUCUUUUAGUACAACUUAAAACAUCUUAAUUGCUAAGGAAAAUGGUGCUAAGUUUUAGUUAUAAGCAUAAAGUAGUUCUGGAGGAACAAUGGGAAGGGGAAAUAGGUGUUUUUAUAUUAGAACCAUUCUUAGUUAGUUCUUUGGAUAUAUGUAAACACAGAAGGGGAAAUAAGUGUUUAUGCAAAUGUCUUGUUGUGUAGACUCUGAUCUUAUGUCUCUUCCUGUCCAUUUGCUUGUUCUGUUUGCUGUUUUAAUCUUUUUUGGUGGCAUUUAAAGAAGCAAUAUCAUUUUCUUCAUUGGUGUUUUAGUUUUUUUUUCUCAUGGUUACAUUUCGGUUUACGGAAGGGAGGCCAACUUUAAUAAAAGAUUCUAAUGGAUAACAUGCAAUAACAAUUCAAGCCAUCAUGUUGAUUGAAGUUGCCUCACAUUUGUAUUCUCUAAAUCUCUUCCUCUACCAUAUACUUGUAAUGGUGUUGUUUGUGUGUUUUUUAGGUGUUUGGAAGGGGUGGGGAGGAGAUGGAUUUCUUGCAACAGCAAGGAAUUCACGUAAAAAUUGUUCCUGGUGCAACAAAGGAGUAAAGAUUUGUGGUCAAACAAAGAUGCCUAUAACUAGAUACUGCUAAAGCUAGAAGGGUCUGUUCAAGAAGAAUUAUGAAGGGAUCCAUACUUAUCAAAUGGAGAGGGACAGUAAACUCAUAGUGUUUGUAAAAUCAUACUGUUUGUAUUACUUGUAAUUUGUGUUUUCAAGGCCUGAAUUA
Benincasa hispida (wax gourd) is the source of this 1347-nucleotide non-coding RNA. NCBI's taxonomy places the organism in Eukaryota, Viridiplantae, Streptophyta, Magnoliopsida, Cucurbitales, Cucurbitaceae. The record is from RefSeq and is a predicted model, not a curated record.